RNAcentral lists this ribosomal RNA (536 nucleotides) under uncultured bacterium. Its description in RNAcentral is "bacterial SSU rRNA". It matches the Rfam family "Bacterial small subunit ribosomal RNA", at positions 9 to 533 of the family's 1533-position model. The record is from RNAcentral.
GGAGUUUGAUCAUGGCUCAGAUUGAACGCUGGCGGUAUGCUUAACACAUGCAAGUCGAACGGUAACAUCGGAGCUUGCUCCGGAUGACGAGUGGCGGACGGGUGCGUAACGCGUAGGAAUCUGCCUAUUAGUGGGGGGACAACAUGAGGAAACUCAUGCUAAUACCGCAUACGCCCUACGGGGGAAAGCGGGGGAUCUUCGGACCUCGCGCUAAUAGAUGAGCCUGCGUUAGAUUAGCUAGUUGGUGAGGUAAUGGCUCACCAAGGCGACGAUCUAUAGCUGGUCUGAGAGGACGAUCAGCCACACUGGGACUGAGACACGGCCCAGACUCCUACGGGAGGCAGCAGUGGGGAAUAUUGGACAAUGGGCGAAAGCCUGAUCCAGCAAUACCGCGUGUGUGAAGAAGGCCUGAGGGUUGUAAAGCACUUUCAAUUGGGAGGAAAACAGGCAGGUUAAUAUCCUGUCCCUUGACAUUACCUUUAAGAAGAAGCACCGGGCUAACUCCGUGCCAGCAGCCGGCGGUAAUACGGAAGGGU